AUGAACGCUGGCGGCGUGCCUAAACAUGCAAGUCGAGCGGUAACAGGUGUAGCAAUACAUGCUGACGAGCGGCGAACGGGUGAGUAAUGCUUCGGAAUCUGCCCAAUGGUGGGGAAUAACCAGCCGAAAGGUUGGCUAAUACCGCAUAAGUCCUACGGGGGAAAGCAGGGGAUCGCAAGACCUUGCGCCGAUGGAUGAGCCGAAGUCGGAUUAGCUAGUUGGUAGGGUAACGGCCUACCAAGGCGACGAUCCGUAGCUGGUCUGAGAGGACGACCAGCCACACUGGGACUGAGACACGGCCCAGACUCCUACGGGAGGCAGCAGUGGGGAAUAUUGGACAAUGGGGGAAACCCUGAUCCAGCGACGCCGCGUGUGUGAAGAAGGCCUGCGGGUUGUAAAGCACUUUUAGUGGGGAUGAAAAGCUCAGGGCUAACACCUCUGGGUCUUGACCUAACCCAAAGAAAAAGCACCGGCUAACUCUGUGCCAGCAGCCGCGGUAAUACAGAGGGUGCGAGCGUUAAUCGGAAUUACUGGGCGUAAAGCGUGCGUAGACGGUUAUGUAAGUCGGGUGUGAAAGCCCCGGGCUC
RNAcentral lists this ribosomal RNA (587 nucleotides) under uncultured bacterium. RNAcentral describes it as "bacterial SSU rRNA". It matches the Rfam family "Bacterial small subunit ribosomal RNA", at positions 29 to 610 of the family's 1533-position model. The record is from RNAcentral.